CUGGUCACUUUGUGCUGAUUCACUCUCAGAGCUGGAUAUAAGUAUUUGGAUGGAUUUACAGCAACUUCAUCCUUUUUACUCAAGAGACAUGCCAGUCUGCGUACUUGUAAUGACUAAUUGUCCUGCUGUGUCAGGUCAAAAGGUAACAACCAGAUAUAAGGCUGGUCCUUGAGUUCAGAGCUUGACCAACAUGGCCAGCUAGCGCUCUCUUCAUGGAAAUGCUGAGGUAAUUUGCCGUAGUGAGAACACUAGAGAUACGUGGGAAUGAGGCUGCAAUAGUAUUCGUAAGGCUUAACUCCAAAUGCCUAAUGUUCUGGAGGGAUUUGAAAGUACCGCUUGCUCUGCCCGCUAUGACUUUAGAUUACCUUUGCUCUGAAGAAGAUAACAGCAAAAAUAGGAAAAAAUCCAUGAAGUGGCCUUAUGCAAUAAGACAAAGAAUAUAAUUUGGAUCUAUACAUCAGAAGCUGAGAUCUCCAGCUUAAAAGUUUUAGAAGAUUACAGCAUCAAAGGAAGCAUAGCUCCGUUCUUGGGACAUGUGAAUGCCUAUUUUGAGGCACAAACAAGAAACACUUGGUGCUUCAAAAGGACCUGCGAGGUUGUUGGAGAUGGUGGUAGAACAUAUUUGCUUUGGAUCCUUUUGUUUCUCCCUGCAAGCAAGAGGAGUUCCUGUUUAAGUACGGGUUAACUUGGCAGCAAGAAGAAUCCAUGAAGUGCUGAGGCUGGAGAAUGAAAAGACUGGAAGACUUUUCCAGCUUAACCAACUUAACCAACUUAACCAACUCCUGUCACUACAGAGGUUUUCUGCUCCCAAAGUUCUAGGAACAGAUGAAGAGGUAUUUAUUAUUGGCAUAUGCAUAUAUAUAUUUAAAAAAAAAGAAACCUUGAGCCCAGCAGCAGCCUAUCUCCAACAGAUGCAGCUCAAUGACUUUGUCAGGCUUUGUCCCUUCAAAAAGCUAUUUCUGCAUGCUGUAGGAGUGCCUCAGGAAGGAAAGUAAUGAAGCUAUUGUAAAUACAUAUGCCUAAAUGUGAAUAUGAAUUAAGGUAUGACUGAAUAAGUUGUUUUUUCUAAAUCAAUAAUGCGCAGCCAUGCUUACUUACUGGCCACUUUCUGUUUGCACUCUGCGCAGGAAAGCAAAACCCAGCAGCCCAAAACCAAACAAAAGUGCAGACAGAAAGCUGUCCCCUGCUCGGUGUUGAAACAGAAGUUGAACAUGUUAAAAAAAUAAAUAAUGAAGGUUUCCACAGCAACCUAAGUUCUGUGGUGCAAAUUGAUGACUUUCGUUCUGUUUUAUUAUAUAAUGAUAGAACAGAUAUUCUAUAAAAAGUGGUGGGUACAGCGGAAGUUUAGUUACAUUAUUAAAAAGUUCGGUGUAAUCUUAAAACUUCACCCCAAGCAAUUUGUUUGCAAAGAUUUCUGAAACUGCUGCGUCAAAAGUGUUGUUUUGUGCCUUUAGCUUUGGGAAGGCUCCGACUGGAGGAAAGUCACUUGUCUGGCAGAGCAUUUGCAGUGAUUAGAAUUUCAGUUACAGGAACAGUUUUGAAUUACAUGAAUCAGCUUUUAAUUUGCCGUGAGGAGUUGAAGUUUGGGUUUUAUGGAAAGAGUGGAAGUGAAGGAUGAACUCAAAGAUGAAAUCUAAGAACUAUUUCAAAUUUUGGAUGACCGUUCCUUGUGCAACCUCUACAAAAUUUUGCCAGCUCCUUAGAAGCCUUGGAAAUUAAUUUAGAACAAUAUAUUAAAUCACAGUAUUAGACAAAUUUUGAUCUAAGGGCUGGUGGUAUCACUGGUUAGGGUGCUGACACCAUGUCCUCCAAUGCCAACCUUAAA
This is a long non-coding RNA of Strigops habroptila (Kakapo), 1825 nucleotides long. RefSeq lists it as uncharacterized. The transcript has 6 exons. The record is from RefSeq and is a predicted model, not a curated record. Lineage: Eukaryota; Metazoa; Chordata; Aves; Psittaciformes; Psittacidae.